CCUACGGGCGGCAGCAGUGGGGAAUAUUGGACAAUGGGGGGAACCCUGAUCCAGCGACGCCGCGUGAGUGAAGAAGUAUUUCGGUAUGUAAAGCUCUAUCAGCAGGGAAGAAAAUGACGGUACCUGACUAAUAAUCCCCGGCUAACUACGUGCCAGCAGCCGCGGUAAUACGUAGGGGGCAAGCGUUAUCCGGAUUUACUGGGUGUAAAGGGAGCGUAGACGGCAGCACAAGUCUGGAGUGAAAUCCCUGGGCUUAACCCCGGAACUGCUUUGGAAACUGUGCGGCUGGAGUGCAGGAGGGGUAAGCGGAAUUCCUAGUGUAGCGGUGAAAUGCGUAGAUAUUAGGAGGAACACCGGUGGCGAAGGCGGCUUACUGGACUGUAACUGACGUUGAGGCUCGAAAGCGUGGGGAGCAAACAGGAGUAGAUACCCUGGUAGUC
This 440-nucleotide ribosomal RNA is filed under the name uncultured bacterium. Its description in RNAcentral is "partial 16S ribosomal RNA". It matches the Rfam family "Bacterial small subunit ribosomal RNA", at positions 338 to 795 of the family's 1533-position model. The record is from RNAcentral.